UGAUGAGCACUCUUAGUCAUGAUCCUAUCCUCUCUCCGUAGUCAUUGCACCUGUACAGUAGAACAUCAUUACGGAUAUCAACGAGGCACUCAACCAUGAACCACCACCACCUGACUGUCCACCCAUGCUCACCUAUGUGAACACUGGGGUCACUACAUUCACAGCGCAGGACAUCCAGGCAUCACGACCCUGCAACUUACCACAAAAUAAAUUCUGGUGGCCUGAUUUACAGUUAGAUUCGUACAACAAUGCUCCUCUUUUAACGUCACCAAAUCAUCACAUCAACAGCCAGCAGGCCUGCUACAGCACUACUCAUUCCCCAGAGACCCUGGUCCCAUAUCGCCAUGGAUUUUGUUAUGGAUCUCCCUCCUUGGAAUAACUUCACAACCAUCCUCACAAUCAUGGACAGAUUUUCCAAAACCUGCAGAUUACACAAGCCAACCACCAUCGCAGAGAGUCUCCGGCCUAUACACCUAGGCAGUGGGUCUGGCCUAUCCACCAGGGAUGUGCACCUCCACCGUCCAUGCAAGAAACUAAACCCUAGGUAUGUGGGUCCAUUUAAAGUCAUCAGACAAAUCACCCCAGUUUCAUACCAUCUAGCCUUGCCUUCUAAUUAUCGUAUUUCUCCCACUUUCCAUGUAUCAUUGCCGAAACCUACGAGUGGCCCGAGAGGAGAGAGGGACCAGGACUAGGCGGCGGAGACCGAAAACCCUCCCUUGAGUAAGCCUACCGAGUAAACAAAAUACUUGAUUCACAAUGCCGAGGGCGGGUCCUACAGUACCUCAUAGAUUGGGAGGGAUACAGGCCAGAAGAACGAUCGUGGGUCAAUGACUCUUUCCGAUGGCCACUGAAGGGAACCCUCUCCAGAGUACUAGCUU
This is a long non-coding RNA of Puntigrus tetrazona (Sumatra barb), 878 nucleotides long. RefSeq lists it as uncharacterized. Lineage: Eukaryota; Metazoa; Chordata; Actinopteri; Cypriniformes; Cyprinidae. The record is from RefSeq and is a predicted model, not a curated record. The transcript has 2 exons.